CCUACGGGAGGCAGCAGUGAGGAAUAUUGGUCAAUGGACGAGAGUCUGAACCAGCCAAGUGGCGUGAAGGAUGACUGCCCUAUGGGUUGUAAACUUCUUUUAUAAAGGAAUAAAACGAGGCACGUGUGCCUUUUUGCAUGUACUUUAUGAAUAAGGAUCGGCUAACUCCGUGCCAGCAGCCGCGGUAAUACGGAGGAUUCGAGCGUUAUCCGGAUUUAUUGGGUUUAAAGGGAGCGUAGAUGGGUUGUUAAGUCAGUUGUGAAAGUUUGCGGCUCAACCGUAAAAUUGCAAUUGAUACUGGCAGUCUUGAGUACAGUUGAGGUAGGCGGAAUGCAUGGUGUAGCGGUGAAAUGCUUAGAUAUCACGAAGAACCCCGAUUGCGAAGGCAGCUUACUAAACUGUGACUGACAUUGAUGCUCGAAAGUGUGGGGAUCAAACAGGAUUAGAUACCCCUGUAGUC
This 460-nucleotide ribosomal RNA is filed under the name uncultured bacterium. RNAcentral describes it as "partial 16S ribosomal RNA". It matches the Rfam family "Bacterial small subunit ribosomal RNA", at positions 338 to 795 of the family's 1533-position model. The record is from RNAcentral.